RNAcentral lists this ribosomal RNA (445 nucleotides) under uncultured bacterium. RNAcentral describes it as "bacterial SSU rRNA". It matches the Rfam family "Bacterial small subunit ribosomal RNA", at positions 354 to 796 of the family's 1533-position model. The record is from RNAcentral.
GUGAGGAAUAUUGGUCAAUGGGUGCAAGCCUGAACCAGCCAUCCCGCGUGAAGGACGACUGCCCUAUGGGUUGUAAACUUCUUUUGUAUAGGGAUAAACCUACCCUCGUGAGGGUAGCUGAAGGUACUAUACGAAUAAGCACCGGCUAACUCCGUGCCAGCAGCCGCGGUAAUACGGAGGGUGCAAGCGUUAUCCGGAUUUAUUGGGUUUAAAGGGUCCGUAGGCGGACUUAUAAGUCAGUGGUGAAAGCCUGUCGCUUAACGAUAGAACUGCCAUUGAUACUGUAAGUCUUGAGUAUAUUUGAGGUAGCUGGAAUAAGUAGUGUAGCGGUGAAAUGCAUAGAUAUUACUUAGAACACCAAUUGCGAAGGCAGGUUACCAAGAUAUAACUGACGCUGAGGGACGAAAGCGUGGGGAGCGAACAGGAUUAGAAACCCGUGUAGUCC